AGUAUUGACUGCCGAAGACAGCAGGUGCCGUAAGGCUUAAGGUGAAAACGCCUGCCGAGGAACGUACAAAUCAAACACAGAUUGAUUUUGUAGCCCUCUGUCUUUGUGACAGAGGGAUUUUUUU
Molecule: small RNA, 124 nt
Filed under: human gut metagenome
Description: Ribosomal protein L10 leader
Rfam family: Ribosomal protein L10 leader
About the family: This family is a putative r-protein leader autoregulatory structure found in B. subtilis and other low-GC Gram-positive bacteria.
Source: RNAcentral